RNAcentral lists this ribosomal RNA (2915 nucleotides) under Pseudomonas aeruginosa. RNAcentral describes it as "23S ribosomal RNA". It matches the Rfam family "Bacterial large subunit ribosomal RNA". The record is from RNAcentral. Lineage: Bacteria; Pseudomonadati; Pseudomonadota; Gammaproteobacteria; Pseudomonadales; Pseudomonadaceae.
GUUAUAUGGUCAAGUGAAGAAGCGCAUACGGUGGAUGCCUUGGCAGUCAGAGGCGAUGAAAGACGUGGUAGCCUGCGAAAAGCUUCGGGGAGUCGGCAAACAGACUUUGAUCCGGAGAUCUCUGAAUGGGGGAACCCACCUAGGAUAACCUAGGUAUCUUGUACUGAAUCCAUAGGUGCAAGAGGCGAACCAGGGGAACUGAAACAUCUAAGUACCCUGAGGAAAAGAAAUCAACCGAGAUUCCCUUAGUAGUGGCGAGCGAACGGGGAUUAGCCCUUAAGCUUCAUUGAUUUUAGCGGAACGCUCUGGAAAGUGCGGCCAUAGUGGGUGAUAGCCCCGUACGCGAAAGGAUCUUUGAAGUGAAAUCGAGUAGGACGGAGCACGAGAAACUUUGUCUGAACAUGGGGGGACCAUCCUCCAAGGCUAAAUACUACUGACUGACCGAUAGUGAACCAGUACCGUGAGGGAAAGGCGAAAAGAACCCCGGAGAGGGGAGUGAAAUAGAACCUGAAACCGUAUGCGUACAAGCAGUGGGAGCCUACUUGUUAGGUGACUGCGUACCUUUUGUAUAAUGGGUCAGCGACUUAUAUUCAGUGGCAAGCUUAACCGUAUAGGGUAGGCGUAGCGAAAGCGAGUCUUAAUAGGGCGUUUAGUCGCUGGGUAUAGACCCGAAACCGGGCGAUCUAUCCAUGAGCAGGUUGAAGGUUAGGUAACACUGACUGGAGGACCGAACCCACUCCCGUUGAAAAGGUAGGGGAUGACUUGUGGAUCGGAGUGAAAGGCUAAUCAAGCUCGGAGAUAGCUGGUUCUCCUCGAAAGCUAUUUAGGUAGCGCCUCAUGUAUCACUCUGGGGGGUAGAGCACUGUUUCGGCUAGGGGGUCAUCCCGACUUACCAAACCGAUGCAAACUCCGAAUACCCAGAAGUGCCGAGCAUGGGAGACACACGGCGGGUGCUAACGUCCGUCGUGAAAAGGGAAACAACCCAGACCGCCAGCUAAGGUCCCAAAGUUGUGGUUAAGUGGUAAACGAUGUGGGAAGGCUUAGACAGCUAGGAGGUUGGCUUAGAAGCAGCCACCCUUUAAAGAAAGCGUAAUAGCUCACUAGUCGAGUCGGCCUGCGCGGAAGAUGUAACGGGGCUCAAACCACACACCGAAGCUGCGGGUGUCACGUAAGUGACGCGGUAGAGGAGCGUUCUGUAAGCCUGUGAAGGUGAGUUGAGAAGCUUGCUGGAGGUAUCAGAAGUGCGAAUGCUGACAUGAGUAACGACAAUGGGUGUGAAAAACACCCACGCCGAAAGACCAAGGGUUCCUGCGCAACGUUAAUCGACGCAGGGUUAGUCGGUUCCUAAGGCGAGGCUGAAAAGCGUAGUCGAUGGGAAACAGGUUAAUAUUCCUGUACUUCUGGUUACUGCGAUGACGGAGGGACGGAGAAGGCUAGGCCAGCUUGGCGUUGGUUGUCCAAGUUUAAGGUGGUAGGCUGAAAUCUUAGGUAAAUCCGGGGUUUCAAGGCCGAGAGCUGAUGACGAGUCGUCUUUUAGAUGACGAAGUGGUUGAUGCCAUGCUUCCAAGAAAAGCUUCUAAGCUUCAGGUAACCAGGAACCGUACCCCAAACCGACACAGGUGGUCGGGUAGAGAAUACCAAGGCGCUUGAGAGAACUCGGGUGAAGGAACUAGGCAAAAUGGCACCGUAACUUCGGGAGAAGGUGCGCCGGCUAGGGUGAAGGAUUUACUCCGUAAGCUCUGGCUGGUCGAAGAUACCAGGCCGCUGCGACUGUUUAUUAAAAACACAGCACUCUGCAAACACGAAAGUGGACGUAUAGGGUGUGACGCCUGCCCGGUGCCGGAAGGUUAAUUGAUGGGGUUAGCGCAAGCGAAGCUCUUGAUCGAAGCCCCGGUAAACGGCGGCCGUAACUAUAACGGUCCUAAGGUAGCGAAAUUCCUUGUCGGGUAAGUUCCGACCUGCACGAAUGGCGUAACGAUGGCGGCGCUGUCUCCACCCGAGACUCAGUGAAAUUGAAAUCGCUGUGAAGAUGCAGUGUAUCCGCGGCUAGACGGAAAGACCCCGUGAACCUUUACUGUAGCUUUGCACUGGACUUUGAGCCUGCUUGUGUAGGAUAGGUGGGAGGCUUUGAAGCGUGGACGCCAGUUCGCGUGGAGCCAUCCUUGAAAUACCACCCUGGCAUGCUUGAGGUUCUAACUCUGGUCCGUAAUCCGGAUCGAGGACAGUGUAUGGUGGGCAGUUUGACUGGGGCGGUCUCCUCCUAAAGAGUAACGGAGGAGUACGAAGGUGCGCUCAGACCGGUCGGAAAUCGGUCGUAGAGUAUAAAGGCAAAAGCGCGCUUGACUGCGAGACAGACACGUCGAGCAGGUACGAAAGUAGGUCUUAGUGAUCCGGUGGUUCUGUAUGGAAGGGCCAUCGCUCAACGGAUAAAAGGUACUCCGGGGAUAACAGGCUGAUACCGCCCAAGAGUUCAUAUCGACGGCGGUGUUUGGCACCUCGAUGUCGGCUCAUCACAUCCUGGGGCUGAAGCCGGUCCCAAGGGUAUGGCUGUUCGCCAUUUAAAGUGGUACGCGAGCUGGGUUUAGAACGUCGUGAGACAGUUCGGUCCCUAUCUGCCGUGGACGUUUGAGAUUUGAGAGGGGCUGCUCCUAGUACGAGAGGACCGGAGUGGACGAACCUCUGGUGUUCCGGUUGUCACGCCAGUGGCAUUGCCGGGUAGCUAUGUUCGGAAAAGAUAACCGCUGAAAGCAUCUAAGCGGGAAACUUGCCUCAAGAUGAGAUCUCACUGGGAACUUGAUUCCCCUGAAGGGCCGUCGAAGACUACGACGUUGAUAGGCUGGGUGUGUAAGCGUUGUGAGGCGUUGAGCUAACCAGUACUAAUUGCCCGUGAGGCUUGACCAUAUAACACCCAAACA